AAAUGCGAGAAGUAAUGUGAAUUGCAGAAUUCAGUGAAUCAUCGAAUCUUUGAACGCACAUUGCGCCCGCCAGUAUUCUGGCGGGCAUGCCUGUCCGAGCGUCAUUUCAACCAUCAAGCCCCCGGGCUUGUGUUGGGGACCUGCGGCUGCCCGCAGGCCCUGAAAACCAGUGGCGGGCUCGCUGUCACACCGAGCGUAGUAGCAAUCACCUCGCUCAGGGCGUGCUGCGGGUUCCGGCCGUUAAACAGCCUUACAAAACCCAAGGUUGACCUCGGAUCAGGUAGGAAGACCCGCUGAACUUAAGC
RNAcentral lists this unclassified non-coding RNA (305 nucleotides) under plant metagenome. RNAcentral's name for it is "partial contains 5.8S ribosomal RNA, internal transcribed spacer 2, and large subunit ribosomal RNA". The stretch from base 1 to 104 matches the Rfam family "5.8S ribosomal RNA", at positions 51 to 154 of the family's 154-position model. The record is from RNAcentral.